Molecule: ribosomal RNA, 1091 nt
Filed under: Oceanobacillus caeni
Lineage: Bacteria; Bacillati; Bacillota; Bacilli; Caryophanales; Bacillaceae
Description: bacterial SSU rRNA
Rfam family: Bacterial small subunit ribosomal RNA
Source: RNAcentral
UCGGGAUGAAAAUAGUGGAAAGAGCGGCGGACGGGUGAGUAACACGUGGGCAACCUACCUAUAAGACUGGGAUAACUCGCGGAAACGUGAGCUAAUACCGGAUAAUACUUUUUAUUGCAUAAUAAGAAGUUUGAAAGGCGGCGUAAGCUGUCACUUAUAGAUGGGCCCGCGGCGCAUUAGCUAGUUGGUGAGGUAAAGGCUCACCAAGGCAACGAUGCGUAGCCGACCUGAGAGGGUGAUCGGCCACACUGGGACUGAGACACGGCCCAGACUCCUACGGGAGGCAGCAGUAGGGAAUCUUCCGCAAUGGACGAAAGUCUGACGGAGCAACGCCGCGUGAGUGAAGAAGGUUUUCGGAUCGUAAAACUCUGUUGUUAGGGAAGAACAAGUCAGGUAGUAACUGACCUGACCUUGACGGUACCUAACCAGAAAGCCACGGCUAACUACGUGCCAGCAGCCGCGGUAAUACGUAGGUGGCAAGCGUUGUCCGGAUUUAUUGGGCGUAAAGCGCUCGCAGGCGGUCUUUUAAGUCUGAUGUGAAAGCCCACGGCUUAACCGUGGAGGGUCAUUGGAAACUGGAGGACUUGAGUGCAGAAGAGGAGAGUGGAAUUCCAUGUGUAGCGGUGAAAUGCGUAGAGAUAUGGAGGAACACCAGUGGCGAAGGCGACUCUCUGGUCUGUAACUGACGCUGAGGAGCGAAAGCGUGGGUAGCGAACAGGAUUAGAUACCCUGGUAGUCCACGCCGUAAACGAUGAGUGCUAGGUGUUAGGGGGUUUCCGCCCCUUAGUGCUGAAGUUAACGCAUUAAGCACUCCGCCUGGGGAGUACGGCCGCAAGGCUGAAACUCAAAAGAAUUGACGGGGACCCGCACAAGCGGUGGAGCAUGUGGUUUAAUUCGAAGCAACGCGAAGAACCUUACCAGGUCUUGACAUCCUUUCGACCUCCCUAGAGAUAGGGAUUUCCCUUCGGGGACGAAAGUGACAGGUGGUGCAUGGUUGUCGUCAGCUCGUGUCGUGAGAUGUUGGGUUAAGUCCCGCAACGAGCGCAACCCUUGAUCUUAGUUGCCAGCAUUAAGUUGGGCACUCUAAGGUG